CCAAGCCCAUAAGUACACCGCCCAAUGGUGGGUUACACUGCCCGACGGUAGGCACAAACACUUGGUCCACCCCUUAGUGUUGCCACUUGAGCGACCUUCAGAGAAGCCAUUGAAGAGUCCACCGCUUGGUGGUGAGUGCGGUACUUGACUUCACCCCUUAGCGGUGCCCCUUAAGCAUGUGGUAGUGGAUGCAUUGAAGGUCACACUACUC
RNAcentral lists this long non-coding RNA (211 nucleotides) under Vigna radiata. RNAcentral describes it as "long non-coding RNA (VRAD_LNC008744)". The record is from RNAcentral. Lineage: Eukaryota; Viridiplantae; Streptophyta; Magnoliopsida; Fabales; Fabaceae.